AUUGAACGCUGGCGGCAUGCCUUACACAUGCAAGUCGAACGGCAGCACGGGUGCUUGCACCUGGUGGCGAGUGGCGAACGGGUGAGUAAUACAUCGGAACAUGUCCUGUAGUGGGGGAUAGCCCGGCGAAAGCCGGAUUAAUACCGCAUACGAUCUACGGAUGAAGGCGGGGGACCUUCGGGCCUCGCGCUAUAGGGUUGGCCGAUGGCUGAUUAGCUAGUUGGUGGGGUAAAGGCCUACCAAGGCGACGAUCAGUAGCUGGUCUGAGGACGACCAGCCACACUGGGACUGAGACACGGCCCAGACUCCUACGGGAGGCAGCAGUGGGGAAUUUUGGACAAUGGGCGAAAGCCUGAUCCAGCAAUGCCGCGUGUGUGAAGAAGGCCUUCGGGUUGUAAAGCACUUUUGUCCGGAAAGAAAUCCUUGGCCCUAAUACGGUCGGGGGAGGACGGUACCGGAAGAAUAAGCACCGGCUACUACGUG
This 483-nucleotide ribosomal RNA is filed under the name uncultured bacterium. RNAcentral describes it as "partial 16S ribosomal RNA". It matches the Rfam family "Bacterial small subunit ribosomal RNA", at positions 30 to 507 of the family's 1533-position model. The record is from RNAcentral.